This 432-nucleotide ribosomal RNA is filed under the name Philinopsis speciosa. RNAcentral's name for it is "partial 16S ribosomal RNA". It matches the Rfam family "Archaeal large subunit ribosomal RNA", at positions 1901 to 2678 of the family's 2987-position model. The record is from RNAcentral. Lineage: Eukaryota; Metazoa; Mollusca; Gastropoda; Cephalaspidea; Aglajidae.
AAAAACAUAGCCCUAAGAAUUGAUUUAGGGUGAAGCCUGCUCAAUGAAAGUUUUUAAAUAGCCGCGGUACCUUGACCGUGCUAAGGUAGCAUAAUCAGUUGACUUUUAAAUGAAGUCUGGAAUGAAAGGAAUAACGGGGUUUAGCUGUUUCAACACUCCUCUUUCGAAUUUACUAAUUAGGUGAAAAGGCCUAAAUAAGAUAAAAGACGAGAAGACCCUUAGAGUUUUUAUAUAUUUUUGUUGGGGCGACAUGGAAUCAUUUAAACAUUUCAGAAGUUAUGUGACGAAUACUAUUAUGAACAGAUAAACUACCUGAGGGAUAACAGCAUAAUCCUUUUUGGGUUUGUGACCUCGAUGUUGGACUAGGAAGCCUGUAAGCUAGCCGCUUACAAGGGGGAUUCUGUUCGAAUUUUUACUCCUACGUGAUCUGAG